CGCAUCCCCAACACCGCCUUCCGCGGCCUCAAGGACCAGCCGCUGGCCCAGCUGCUCUACGCCGCCAUGGCCGAGGUCAGUAGCACUGGUGGAAGAGACAAUAACCGCAGCAGCUCCCUCCCACCCAGGCCAUUGGCCUUUCCCUAGCUAUGCCAUAGGCCUCCCCGCGUCCAUGGGCCACCCAGCAUAACGGGCAAGUAUGAAGGCCUCGCCUGCAAACCAGCCUCCGCCAGCUCUCCUUUGGCUCAGGAAAAAAACGAAGCCCAAGGCCUUCAGGUAUUGGAGAAGAGGACCAAGGAGUCUCAGCAAUCGAUGUGAGGAGCCUUCGUUCCAGUGGUGGGCCAGGAGGGCCUGCAAAAGUAUCCCUGCUUACAGGAGGUGUCUGGAACCUUUGUCAGAAGAGGGGGCUCAUCCCCCCCCCAGAGAACCAUCUCUGGCAGCCCAAAGGCAAUGCCCGCGUGUGC
RNAcentral lists this long non-coding RNA (464 nucleotides) under Naja naja (Indian cobra). RNAcentral's name for it is "lncRNA (ENSNNAG00000008646.1)". Lineage: Eukaryota; Metazoa; Chordata; Lepidosauria; Squamata; Elapidae. The record is from RNAcentral.